This 630-nucleotide long non-coding RNA is filed under the name Gallus gallus (chicken). Lineage: Eukaryota; Metazoa; Chordata; Aves; Galliformes; Phasianidae. The record is from RNAcentral.
UCAGGGGUUACUUCAUUUAAUAGUCUGCAUUUCUAAUAUUUAAAAGGAAAAUCAUGAGAGUGAAUGCAAAAGUAUGUAGCUAUUAUCAACAGAGGCAGUGUACAUAGGCGUCUCAAUAUUGUUUUUGGUAUUUCAUAUAAAAGAAGAUCAAGCCUAAGAUUUCUCAUCCGUAAGUCUCUUUGAUGGGCUGGCAGAGAAAGAACCUGACACUUUUAGUAUGUUGUCUGAGAAUCACAGCUUACAGUUACUCGAUGUCUUCUGGUCUCACAGGAUGGGGCAGAGGUAUAAUUGAUUUCUUCUCUGUAUCCCUAGAAAGAGCUUUUCUCAUAUCAUAAGCAUCUUCAUCUGGCUCUCCGUUGCUAGCAGAGUAGUACUCUAACACUGUCCGGUACACACUGUAGCCUAGUUGCUUAUACAUAUUUACUGCAACCUGAUUUGAUACUCUCACAAAGAGAUCAACAAAAAAUCCACUUCUCUGAAAUUUCUUCCAGUAGUUCCAUCAGUUUGGCAGCCAAACCCAGACGCCGAAAUUCCGGUGCAACAGAGAGCGCAGUAACAUGGCCAUGCCACUCUUCUCUAGCCACAGAGCCUUCUGCUUUACCCAUUAUGUAACCCAUGAGCUCCCCGCCC